GAUGAACGCUGGCGGUAUGCCUAACACAUGCAAGUCGUACGAGGGUUUUUAACUCUAGUGGCGGACGGGUGAGUAACACGUGAGAAUUUGCCUUUAGGAGGGGGAUAACAAUCGGAAACGAAUGCUAAUACCCCAUAUGCUUUUGAGUGAAAUGGAUUUAUCCGCCUAAAGAGAAGCUCGCGGCUGAUUAGCUUGUUGGUAAGGUAAGAGCUUACCAAGGCGACGAUCAGUAUCUGGUUUGAGAGGACGAUCAGACACACUGGAACUGAGACACGGUCCAGACUCCUACGGGAGGCAGCAGUGGGGAAUUUUCCGCAAUGGGCGAAAGCCUGACGGAGCAAUACCGCGUGAGGGAAGAAUGCCUAUGGGUUGUAAACCUCUUUUUUCAGGGAGGAAUCAAAUGACGUGUACCUGAAGAAUAAGCAUCGGCUAACUCCGUG
Molecule: ribosomal RNA, 440 nt
Filed under: uncultured bacterium
Lineage: Bacteria
Description: bacterial SSU rRNA
Rfam family: Bacterial small subunit ribosomal RNA
Source: RNAcentral